GGGGUUUUACCAUGUUGACCAGGCUGGUCUUGAACUCCUGACCUCAGGUGAUCCAGCUGCCUCAGCCUCCCAAAGUGCCGGGAUUACAGGCGUGAGCCACCCCGCCUGGUCUGUAGCUGUUAUUCUGAGGCUCAUGUGGAGUGAAGGGUGUUCUGCUUCCUUUACCGCCCCCCCCCCCGGAAGUGGAAAUCACUAGAAUUCAGUGCGGGGCCCUAUACCCUAAAGACUGUUUCUGGAUAUGCUAACAAAUUACAAGUUUUCCUAACCUCUCUUUCCAGCCCUGACCAGAGCUCCAGAUCUCUGGGUCCAACUGCCUUGUGGAUCCCUCUCCCUGAAUGUCGCAUAGGAGAGGGGACAGGGGUUGGCCACACACCUGGAAAUGGAGUUCUCUGAUGCAAUGUCCUUUGGGGUCCGGACUGUAGUGAAGGCUCGUCCAGCUCCACGCCCACCCACUGGCCGCUGGCAAACUCCGUGGUCCCACAGAACCGCAGUGUGCCCGUCUGGGGAGAGAAGGGAGGCGAUGGCUGAGGAAGGAAUGCUGGGAGGCCAACGUGGAGUGCUCGCACACAGGCAGCAAGAUGAAGACAUUGAUGCCCAGAGAGGCGGAAUCACUGGCUCCAGGUCCCACAGCUGGGAAGUUGCAAAGCUGAGAUUUACCUGGGCAAGUCCCUGAGCCUGAGCCCAUGACGCUGUGCUAUGCUGCUUCUCUUAGGGGCAGUGAUUGGUAUUCCGUGUCUUCAGAUAAAGGUUUUCACCUGUUG
Chlorocebus sabaeus (green monkey) is the source of this 761-nucleotide long non-coding RNA. RefSeq lists it as uncharacterized. The record is from RefSeq and is a predicted model, not a curated record. NCBI's taxonomy places the organism in Eukaryota, Metazoa, Chordata, Mammalia, Primates, Cercopithecidae.